RNAcentral lists this microRNA precursor (78 nucleotides) under Schistosoma curassoni. RNAcentral's name for it is "mir-3492 microRNA precursor family". It matches the Rfam family "mir-3492 microRNA precursor family". Lineage: Eukaryota; Metazoa; Platyhelminthes; Trematoda; Strigeidida; Schistosomatidae. The record is from Rfam by way of RNAcentral.
AGCUAUUUGAAUCCAUGCUGAGAUUUUGUCAGAUAUCAACAUAUUAGGGCUGAUUAGACCUCCAAGAUAAGUGAAGUU